GCUAUCAUUGGGCCCCACAUACCGAAACCCAGACGUACUUUCCCUCACCAAGCCAUUGAUAGGCUCUGCUGGCCCAGACCUACCUCCACUUUCCCCUGCCAAGCCAGCUGUGGGCCCCACAUACCUGGGCCCAUCCCAUGUUCCUCCUUCGAGCCAUCUAUGGACCCUCAUCUCCCCUUAUUCUAGGUCUGAAACUGCCUGCAUCUCCUUAGCCUGGGCCAUGGCCUCCCCUGCAGACAAUGCCCACCUCCCAAUUCUGAGGUGGGCCAUGCUCCCUCCCACGCACAGGGUAGAGAUUCAUCUGGAGACCAAACCAAGGGUGGCUCCUUGUUCAGAGGGGUAACCUAAAGGGAGAGGCAGGCCGAGAGCUGGGGAAUGAAAGUGACAAAAAACAGGACUUUCAAUGUCUUGGGAAGACUUACAGAUUUCCCAGGACAGCUAUUUCAAAAAAUGGACAAUCCUGGACAGGUGGCAACUCUUGCUCUGAUUGAGCAUGGUAAAAACAGCAGUGUAGCUGUGGCAGGACAGGUUAGCUGUCCCGCAUACAUACCCAAGGUUUCAGAUGGGAUUGUACUUGAGGUGACUAACCAGACCCGUGCCUAUGCAGCUGCAGCUACGCUUCUUGGCACACACCUUCCUCCGCUGCCUCUGAGGGAUCUGACUGGCAGCUCUACUAUCUCCAUCUGAAGGGUCUCCUGCGUGACCUCUGUGAGCUGCCAGUCUUUUACGAAGACUUCCUUGUGGAGCCACUGCUGCACAACCCCCAUCUCACUGUGCAUGUGGUGGAGUCCCCCUCAGUGCACUGGAGGUUGGUCCUGACCGGUAUCACCAGGAUUGGAGAUCCAGGAGACUACAACCGGAGGGACUGGGUGGACCUCCAGGCACUCAGCUGGCACAUGGGGCUCUCCACCUCUCGCAUGCCUCAGUGUAUACUCCAGGAGGUGAGGGCAGUCUUACUACAUGCCUUUCAUGCUUUCCCCAAUUGGGCCCUGCAGGAGGGUGUUCUCUGUCUACCCCUCAGCUCUGGCCCUCUGGACCUCACCAUCAGGCCCCUGUCCCCACAAGCCUUCCUGGCUGCAUCACCUGAGCAGGCUGCAUGACCUGUGAACUGCAACCAGGAAACAGCUGCUCCACACCCAUCACUUCCUCACCCUUGUGUCUCACCCCCACACCCAGGACCUCCUACCACCCAUGGAGGGUAAGGAACGCCGGGGGGCCGGUCUAUAUUCCGCCCUCGUCCUGCUGCCCGCCUGACAUUGUAGUUGGUAGCUCGUUCACAGAGCCCUGAGCACAGGCAUGGUUCACCACCUCCCCUGACACCUGCUCCUCCUGCAUUGAGGGGGAGAUCCUGGCGAACAUCUACCUUGAGUGUGCCAGGCUGUAGCCCCUUUUCUAGCGCCUCCAGAACCUCCUUCUCACAUUCUAGCCACACUUUCCCCCUCAUCUUCUGAUAUAUGCAUACCCCACCUGUGGCCCACGAUGUCAUGAGACUUCCUCACAUCAGCCUCCUCCUGGUGUUGGCCACGGUGACCAUCCACCAUACCAAGAGGAGGAAGCUAGAUGUGGAGGUGCUGUGCGACUGUGGCACUAUGUGACGUUGCACUCCGUAUGUUUAUGGAAAUAUGCUUAUGAGUGUAAAUAUAAUGUAACUGGAAUAUGCUUUAUGCAAAAGGUCUCAUAAGGUAUCAUUACAAAGCUUAUAAUCUA
Molecule: long non-coding RNA, 1707 nt
Organism: Gopherus flavomarginatus (Mexican gopher tortoise)
Lineage: Eukaryota; Metazoa; Chordata; Testudines; Testudinidae
Exons: 2
Source: RefSeq, a predicted model, not a curated record